AGAGUUUGAUCCUGGCUCAGGAUGAACGCUAGCGGCAGGCUUAACACAUGCAAGUCGAGGGGCAUCGCGGGGUAGCAAUACCCUGGCGGCGACCGGCGGAAGGGUGCGUAACGCGUGAGCGACAUGCCUGUCACAGGGGGAUAACCGGCGGAAACGCCGCCUAAUACCCCAUAUGAGGCCAGGCCACAUGGCCGGGCCUUGAAAGUCAAGGCGGUGACGGAUUGGCUCGCGUCCGAUUAGCCAGUUGGCGGGGCAACGGCCCACCAAGGCGACGAUCGGUAGGGGUUCUGAGAGGAAGGCCCCCCACAAUGGAACUGAGACACGGUCCAUACUCCUACGGGAGGCAGCAGUGAGGAAUAUUGGUCAAUGGGCGGAAGCCUGAACCAGCCAUGCCGCGUGCAGGAAUGAGGCCCUACGGGUCGUGAACUGCUUUUCGCGCGGAGCAAUAAGGGGGGUUCGCCCCUCCGAUGAGAGUACGCGCGGAAUAAGCAUCGGCUAACUCCGUGCCAGCAGCCGCGGUAAUACGGAGGAUGCGAGCGUUAUCCGGAUUCAUUGGGUAUAAAGGGUGCGUAGGCGGCCCCCCAAGUCAGCGGUGAAAUGUCCGGGCCCAACCCGGAGGGUGCCGUUGAUACUGGGGGGCUGGAGUACGGACGCCGGCGGAGGAAUGAGUGGUGUAGCGGUGAAAUGCAUAGAUAUCACUCAGAACACCGAUUGCGAAGGCAUCCGCCGAGGCCGUUACUGACGCUGAGGCACGAAAGCGUGGGGAUAGAACAGGAUUAGAUACCCUGGUAUUCCACGCCGUAAACGAUGAUGACUAACCGCCGGGCGGAGUGACGUCCGGCAGCCAAGCGAAAGCGAUAAGUCAUCCACCUGGGGAGUACGGCCGCAAGGCUGAAACUCAAAGGAAUUGACGGGGGCCCGCACAAGCGGAGGAACAUGUGGUUUAAUUCGAUGAUACGCGAGGAACCUUACCCGGGCUCGAACGGCGCGCGAAGCGGGCGGAGACGCCCUCGCCCCUCGGGGCGCGCGCCGAGGUGCUGCAUGGUUGUCGUCAGCUCGUGCCGUGAGGUGUCGGCUCAAGUGCCAUAACGAGCGCAACCCCUGCCGCCAGUUGCCAACAGGCAAAGCUGGGGACUCUGGCGGGACUGCCACCGCAAGGUGCGAGGAGGGGGGGGAUGACGUCAAAUCAGCACGGCCCUUACGUCCGGGGCGACACACGUGUUACAAUGGCGGCCACAGAGGGAAGCCACCCCGCGAGGGGGCGCGGAUCCGAAAAAGCCGCCUCAGUUCGGACUGGAGUCUGCAACCCGACUCCACGAAGCUGGAUUCGCUAGUAAUCGCGCAUCAGCCAUGGCGCGGUGAAUACGUUCCCGGGCCUUGUACACACCGCCCGUCAAGCCAUGGGAGCCGGGAAUGCCCGAAGUCAGUGGCCCAACCGCAAGGAGGGAGCUGCCGAAGGCAGGUCUGAUAACUGGGGUGAAGUCGUAACAAGGUAGCCGUAGGAGAACCUGCGGCUGGAUCACCUCCUU
Molecule: ribosomal RNA, 1529 nt
Filed under: uncultured bacterium
Lineage: Bacteria
Description: bacterial SSU rRNA
Rfam family: Bacterial small subunit ribosomal RNA
Source: RNAcentral